GCUUGAGCACGUAGGUGGGUUUGUAAGUCAGGUGUGAAAGCCUUCUGUUCAACGGGAGAAUUGCAUCUGAAACUACGAAUCUUGAGUGUAGGAGGGGAGAAUGGAACUUCUGGUGGAGCGGUGAAAUGCGUAGAUAUCAGAAGGAACGCCGGCGGCGAAAGCGAUUCUCUGGCCUAUUACUGACACUCAGUGUGCGAAAGCUAGGGGAGCAAACGGGAUUAGAUACCCCGGUAGUCCUAGCCGUAAACGAUGGGCACUAAGUAGAGGGGAUUACCGACGUUCUCUCUGCCGUAGCUAACGCAUUAAGUGCCCCGCCUGGGGAGUACGGCCGCAAGGCUAAAACUCAAAAGAAUUGACGGGGGCUCGCACAAGCGGUGGAGCAUGUGGCUUAAUUCGAUGCAACGCGAAGAACCUUACCGGGGCUUGACAUGGUAGAAGUAGGAACCCGAAAGGGUAACGAACGGUAUCCAGUCCGUGACUAUCACAGGUGUUGCAUGGCUGUCGUCAGCUCGUGUCGUGAGACGUUGGGUUAAGUCCCCUAACGAGCGAAACCCUUGUUUUUAGUUACCAGCGGGUUAUGCCGGGUACUCUAGAAAGACUGCCGUCGUCAAGACGGAGGAAGGUGGGGAUGACGUCAAGUCAUCAUGGCCCUUAUGCCCCGGGCUGCACACGUGCUACAAUGGUCGGUACAAACGGAAGCGAAGCCGAGAGGUGAAGCGAAUCCAAGC
RNAcentral lists this ribosomal RNA (728 nucleotides) under uncultured Planctomycetota bacterium. RNAcentral describes it as "bacterial SSU rRNA". It matches the Rfam family "Bacterial small subunit ribosomal RNA", at positions 558 to 1278 of the family's 1533-position model. Lineage: Bacteria; Pseudomonadati; Planctomycetota. The record is from RNAcentral.